UCGAAGCUGCUCUCAGAUUUUUCCAUCGGCGCUCCGUAAUGCGGGAGCCGUCGAACGUCGCUGCAGCCAUCCUCGGUAGACAAGACAACGAUACGGACAAUAGUAAGAUAUAAUUUAAUCGCUCCUUUUCUUCCUCCUUUUCCCCGCUUCUCGUUCCUUCUGUGAAAUGUCAGAGAUACAUGGCGUGGCGGUCGCGUUUGCCCGCGUCAACGUAACUCGGAAAGAAGAAUUGAACGAACGGUUAUAUGCGGGGAGUCUUCGAGGUCUGGAACGAAGGACGUGCCUGUCCGACUGCCCGACCAUGGCACGGUGAGACUGAAGAGGCUGGUAUCCACCAUGCGGCAAGAACCCGGAGGGAUAUUUCAUCACGACGAACAUCUGCAUAUUGCUAUAUCAACUCGAAGAAACGUCGAAUGGUCCACGGGGGCAUAAAGCAUCCAAGGAAACAUCGUAAACCAUGUGAUAUCAUCUUCCAACUUCGGCUUUGUCUCCGUAUCCAGCAUUCGCUUCCUCGGGCUAGCCGGGAGCAGAAACUACGACUCUCCCGAUGCGACUCAACCGAUUAUCAAUUGGCCAGACACUCGCGAGGUAUUUUCAAAAUCGACCGCAAAAACAGCCUCUGUUCUUUUUCACUUCCCUGGAUUCGUCUCGCGGAUCGAAACGAGGGCGCGCAAUCGGCUGUCUCCGCAAGUCAGGUCGCGCAGUGUUUCAGCCUAGCUUCCUGCAGUUAAGAACGAAUGUAUACGGUGCGCCAGAAUUCGAGGGAACGAGCACCGUUUCACAACCAUUACACCUACUGGAGCGGAACCGUGAUGUUUGCAGAGGGACCUUGUGAAGUCUUCCGGCGUAACUCCAUCCAGGCACUCUCUCGAUGAUGCGUGUACUGGCGGAACCUCGUAAAACACCGAUUCCGAACGACGUGAGCAGCCCGCUGGUCAAACGGAACAUCGGAAACCAAUUAAAGAAAACAAAUAAGCUUAGGUCUGGAC
This 989-nucleotide long non-coding RNA is filed under the name Neodiprion lecontei (redheaded pine sawfly). RNAcentral describes it as "uncharacterized LOC124292882". Lineage: Eukaryota; Metazoa; Arthropoda; Insecta; Hymenoptera; Diprionidae. The record is from RNAcentral.